AUGCACGCUGGCGGCGUGCUUAACACAUGCAAGUCGAACGAAGCACUUUAUUUGAUUUCCUUCGGGACUGAUUAUUUUGUGACUGAGUGGCGGACGGGUGAGUAACGCGUGGGUAACCUGCCUUGUACAGGGGGAUAACAGUUGGAAACGGCUGCUAAUACCGCCUAAGCGCACAGCAUCGCAUGAUGCAGUGUGAAAAACUCCGGUGGUAUAAGAUGGACCCGCGUUGGAUUAGCUAGUUGGUGAGGUAACGGCCCACCAAGGCGACGAUCCAUAGCCGACCUGAGAGGGUGACCGGCCACAUUGGGACUGAGACACGGCCCAAACUCCUACGGGAGGCAGCAGUGGGGAAUAUUGCACAAUGGGCGAAAGCCUGAUGCAGCGACGCCGCGUGAGCGAAGAAGUAUUUCGGUAUGUAAAGCUCUAUCAGCAGGGAAGAUAAUGACGGUACCUGACUAAGAAGCACCGGCUAAAUACGUG
Molecule: ribosomal RNA, 480 nt
Filed under: uncultured bacterium
Lineage: Bacteria
Description: partial 16S ribosomal RNA
Rfam family: Bacterial small subunit ribosomal RNA
Source: RNAcentral